ACCGUGCACUGCAAUUUAUUGAAUCAACGCGCGUGGCAUAAACAAUGGAUCGGGCCGGGCCAGCCAGACCAGAGAUAAUGGGGCGUGCCGCUGCCUAAAUAUAGAACACAAUCGUCGUCGUCGUUGCUGUCCAUUUCCUUAUUGCAGUUGUGGCCCAUUGUGUGUGGGUCCUGGGAAUUGGCAAGCGCGGGGGAGGGGCAGCAAACAAAGUGCAACACAUUAGGCGGGUUUUGUCUUUGUCUGAGAAAAACUGCAGCAACAAUGGAGGGGCGGGAAUGCUCUGAAGAGGAGCCUGUAGAUAGUGGACUGGUGCAUCCAGGUUUUUGUGCCUGCCACACAGCCUUUGUGUGUCACGUCAGCCAUUGUUGCACCUACUAGAAUUGGGGGUUGCCAGACAGCUAUUCUGUAGGGGGCGGCCUCUUCUUU
Molecule: long non-coding RNA, 426 nt
Filed under: Drosophila guanche
Lineage: Eukaryota; Metazoa; Arthropoda; Insecta; Diptera; Drosophilidae
Source: RNAcentral